RNAcentral lists this ribosomal RNA (1388 nucleotides) under uncultured Actinomycetes bacterium. RNAcentral describes it as "bacterial SSU rRNA". It matches the Rfam family "Bacterial small subunit ribosomal RNA". Lineage: Bacteria; Bacillati; Actinomycetota; Actinomycetes. The record is from RNAcentral.
GAGUUUGAUCCUGGCUCAGGACGAACGCGGGCGGCGUGCUUACACAUGCAAGUCGAACGGUGACGAGGAGCUUGCUCCUCUGAUCAGUGGCGAACGGGUGAGUAACACGUGAGCAAUCUGCCCUUGACUCUGGGAUAACUGCGGGAAACUGUAGCUAAUACCGGAUACGACCCUCGGAGGCAUCUCCUGGGGGUGGAAAGAAUUUUGGUCAAGGAUGAGCUCGCGGCCUAUCAGCUAGUUGGUGAGGUAAUGGCUCACCAAGGCGACGACGGGUAGCCGGCCUGAGAGGGUGACCGGCCACACUGGGACUGAGACACGGCCCAGACUCCUACGGGAGGCAGCAGUGGGGAAUACUGCACAAUGGGCGAAAGCCUGAUGCAGCAACGCCGCGUGAGGGACGAAGGCCUUCGGGUUGUAAACCUCUUUUAGUAGGGAAGAAGCGAUGUGCUUGCCACAAAGUGACGGUACCUGCAGAAAAAGCACCGGCUAACUACGUGCCAGCAGCCGCGGUAAUACGUAGGGUGCAAGCGUUGUCCGGAAUUAUUGGGCGUAAAGAGCUCGUAGGCGGUUUGUCGCGUCUGCUGUGAAAACCCGAGGCUCAACCUCGGGCCUGCAGUGGGUACGGGCAGACUAGAGUGCGGUAGGGGAGAUUGGAAUUCCUGGUGUAGCGGUGGAAUGCGCAGAUAUCAGGAGGAACACCAAUGGCGAAGGCAGAUCUCUGGGCCGUAACUGACGCUGAGGAGCGAAAGCAUGGGGAGCGAACAGGAUUAGAUACCCUGGUAGUCCAUGCCGUAAACGUUGGGAACUAGAUGUGGGGACCAUUCCACGGUCUCCGUGUCGCAGCUAACGCAUUAAGUUCCCCGCCUGGGGAGUACGGCCGCAAGGCUAAAACUCAAAGGAAUUGACGGGGGCCCGCACAAGCGGCGGAGCAUGCGGAUUAAUUCGAUGCAACGCGAAGAACCUUACCAAGGCUUGACAUAUAGAGGAAACGGCUGGAAACAGUCGCCCCGCAAGGUCUCUAUACAGGUGGUGCAUGGUUGUCGUCAGCUCGUGUCGUGAGAUGUUGGGUUAAGUCCCGCAACGAGCGCAACCCUCGUCCUAUGUUGCCAGCACGUAAUGAUGGGAACUCAUGGGAUACUGCCGGGGUCAACUCGGAGGAAGGUGGGGAUGACGUCAAAUCAUCAUGCCCCUUAUGUCUUGGGCUUCACGCAUGCUACAAUGGCCGGUACAAAGGGCUGCAAUACCGUAAGGUGGAGCGAAUCCCAAAAAGCCGGUCUCAGUUCGGAUUGAGGUCUGCAACUCGACCUCAUGAAGUCGGAGUCGCUAGUAAUCGCAGAUCAGCAACGCUGCGGUGAAUACGUUCCCGGGCCUUGUACACACCGCCCGUC